This 628-nucleotide long non-coding RNA is filed under the name Physeter macrocephalus (sperm whale). RNAcentral's name for it is "Physeter catodon (sperm whale) lncRNA (ENSPCTG00005017769.1)". Lineage: Eukaryota; Metazoa; Chordata; Mammalia; Artiodactyla; Physeteridae. The record is from RNAcentral.
UGGGGCAAGCCCCGCUGCCCGGCUCCCGGGACCCACGAGGGCGUGGCCGGCCGCUCCAGGCCAGGACCGGAAGUGCCCGGGAACGGCGCCGCACGCGUCGAUGCACUUCCGGUCCUCGCAGCUUCCGGCAAGUGGCGCUGCGGCCCCGGGAACGGGUCGCUGGCCGUUAGCCCUCGAGCAUUCUGGGAGUCGUGGUUCUGCCUCCCAGCCUCCCUCCUGGCCUUAGUCAAUUCCGGUCUCUUCGCGAGAGAGCGCCGUUUCCGGGAGGGAAGACAGCGAACGCGCAGAGACCACACUCCCGAUAGGCCUCGGGAGUAGUGGCCCGGUGACUUGUGGGAGGUGUAGUUCUUCAGGCGCGGAAGCCGCGGCCCUCGGCCGGCGGAGGACUCAGUUUCCCAGAAAGCCGAACGCCGCGCAAGAUGGAGGCAGCCAGGCCACGGUGAGCUGCUCUAAAACAGACACCAUUGGCGUUUACUUCGUGUCCCCUUUCCUGGAGUUGUGCCUUCAUUUUGGGAGUCACGCGAGGCCCAGAGGAAUGGAGAUCUUGCCUGUGUUUGACCCGGUGCCGGGCACUCAGAGCCACUCCUGGUCUGCCUGGCCUGGUCCUCGCCAGCCACUGAGCCACUGA